GACCGAACCGACUAAUGUUGAAAAAUUAGCGGAUGACCUGUGGCUGGGGGUGAAAGGCCAAUCAAACCGGGAGAUAGCUGGUUCUCCCCGAAAGCUAUUUAGGUAGCGCCUCGUGAAUUCAUCUCCGGGGGUAGAGCACUGUUUCGGCUAGGGGGCCAUCCCGGCUUACCAACCCGAUGCAAACUGCGAAUACCGGAGAAUGUUAUCACGGGAGACACACGGCGGGUGCUAACGUCCGUCGUGAAGAGGGAAACAACCCAGACCGCCAGCUAAGGUCCCAAAGUCAUGGUUAAGUGGGAAACGAUGUGGGAAGGCCCAGACAGCCAGGAUGUUGGCUUAGAAGCAGCCAUCAUUUAAAGAAAGCGUAAUAGCUCACUGGUCGAGUCGGCCUGCGCGGAAGAUGUAACGGGGCUAAACCAUGCACCGAAGCUGCGGCAGCGACGCUGAUGCGUUGUUGGGUAGGGGAGCGUUCUGUAAGCCUGCGAAGGUGUGUCGUGAGGCAUGCUGGAGGUAUCAGAAGUGCGAAUGCUGACAUAAGUAACGAUAAAGCGGGUGAAAAGCCCGCUCGCCGGAAGACCAAGGGUUCCUGUCCAACGUUAAUCGGGGCAGGGUGAGUCGACCCCUAAGGCGAGGCCGAAAGGCGUAGUCGAUGGGAAACGGGUUAAUAUUCCCGUACUUGGUGUUACUGCGAAGGGGGGACGGAGAAGGCUAUGUUGGCCGGGCGACGGUUGUCCCGGUUUAAGCGUGUAGGUGUGUGUUCCAGGUAAAUCCGGUUCACUUUAACACUGAGGCGUGAUGACGAGGCACUACGGUGCUGAAGCAACAAAUGCCCUGCUUCCAGGAAAAGCCUCUAAGCAUCAGGUAACAUCAAAUCGUACCCCAAACCGACACAGGUGGUCAGGUAGAGAAUACCAAGGCGCUUGAGAGAACUCGGGUGAAGGAACUAGGCAAAAUGGUGCCGUAACUUCGGGAGAAGGCACGCUGACACGUAGGUGAAGUGAUUUACUCAUGGAGCUGAAGUCAGUCGAAGAUACCAGCUGGCUGCAACUGUUUAUUAAAAACACAGCACUGUGCAAACACGAAAGUGGACGUAUACGGUGUGACGCCUGCCCGGUGCCGGAAGGUUAAUUGAUGGGGUCAGCGCAAGCGAAGCUCCUGAUCGAAGCCCCGGUAAACGGCGGCCGUAACUAUAACGGUCCUAAGGUAGCGAAAUUCCUUGUCGGGUAAGUUCCGACCUGCACGAAUGGCGUAAUGAUGGCCAGGCUGUCUCCACCCGAGACUCAGUGAAAUUGAACUCGCUGUGAAGAUGCAGUGUACCCGCGGCAAGACGGAAAGACCCCGUGAACCUUUACUAUAGCUUGACACUGAACAUUGAGCCUUGAUGUGUAGGAUAGGUGGGAGGCUUUGAAGUGUGGACGCCAGUCUGCAUGGAGCCGGCCUUGAAAUACCACCCUUUAAUGUUUGAUGUUCUAACGUGGACCCGUGAUCCGGGUUGCGGACAGUGUCUGGUGGGUAGUUUGACUGGGGCGGUCUCCUCCUAAAGAGUAACGGAGGAGCACGAAGGUUGGCUAAUCCUGGUCGGACAUCAGGAGGUUAGUGCAAUGGCAUAAGCCAGCUUGACUGCGAGCGUGACGGCGCGAGCAGGUGCGAAAGCAGGUCAUAGUGAUCCGGUGGUUCUGAAUGGAAGGGCCAUCGCUCAACGGAUAAAAGGUACUCCGGGGAUAACAGGCUGAUACCGCCCAAGAGUUCAUAUCGACGGCGGUGUUUGGCACCUCGAUGUCGGCUCAUCACAUCCUGGGGCUGAAGUAGGUCCCAAGGGUAUGGCUGUUCGCCAUUUAAAGUGGUACGCGAGCUGGGUUUAGAACGUCGUGAGACAGUUCGGUCCCUAUCUGCCGUGGGCGCUGGAGAACUGAGGGGGGCUGCUCCUAGUACGAGAGGACCGGAGUGGACGCAUCACUGGUGUUCGGGUUGUCAUGCCAAUGGCACUGCCCGGUAGCUAAAUGCGGAAGAGAUAAGUGCUGAAAGCAUCUAAGCACGAAACUUGCCCCGAGAUGAGUUCUCCCUGAGACUUAGAGUCUCCUGAAGGAACGUUGAAGACGACGACGUUGAUAGGCCGGGUGUGUAAGCGCAGCGAUGCGUUGAGCUAACCGGUACUAAUGAACCGUGAGGCUUAACCUU
This 2178-nucleotide ribosomal RNA is filed under the name Salmonella enterica. Its description in RNAcentral is "partial 23S ribosomal RNA". It matches the Rfam family "Bacterial large subunit ribosomal RNA", at positions 772 to 2925 of the family's 2925-position model. The record is from RNAcentral. Lineage: Bacteria; Pseudomonadati; Pseudomonadota; Gammaproteobacteria; Enterobacterales; Enterobacteriaceae.